CCUACGGGAGGCAGCAGUGGGGAAUAUUGCACAAUGGGGGAAACCCUGAUGCAGCGACGCCGCGUGAGCGAUGACGUCUUUCGGUAUGUAAAGCUCUAUCAGCAGGGCAGUAAAUGACGGUACCUGACUAAUUAGCCCCGGCUAACUACGUGACAGCAGACGCGGUAAUACGUAGGGGGCAAGCGUUAUCCGGAUUUACUGGGUGUACAGGGAGCGUAGACGGCUUGGCAAGCCAGAUGUGAAAGGCUGGGGCUCAACCCCAGGACUGCAAUUGGAACUGUCAUGCUAGAGUGUCGGAGAGGCAGGCGGAAUUCCUGGUGUAGCGGUGAAAUGCGUAGAUAUUAGGAGGAACACCAGUGGCGAAGGCGGCCUGCUGGACGAUGACUGACGUUGAGGCUCGAAAGCGUGGGGAGCAAACAGGAUUAGAUACCCCAGUAGUC
RNAcentral lists this ribosomal RNA (440 nucleotides) under uncultured bacterium. RNAcentral describes it as "partial 16S ribosomal RNA". It matches the Rfam family "Bacterial small subunit ribosomal RNA", at positions 338 to 795 of the family's 1533-position model. The record is from RNAcentral.